UUCAAAUUGGCCCAGUUACAUGCUUGUGU
This 29-nucleotide non-coding RNA is filed under the name Mus musculus (house mouse). Lineage: Eukaryota; Metazoa; Chordata; Mammalia; Rodentia; Muridae. The record is from RNAcentral.